CUUAUCAUUUAAAGGAAGGAAAAGUUGUAACAAGGUUUCCGUAGGU
RNAcentral lists this ribosomal RNA (46 nucleotides) under Millettia grandis. RNAcentral's name for it is "partial 17S ribosomal RNA". Lineage: Eukaryota; Viridiplantae; Streptophyta; Magnoliopsida; Fabales; Fabaceae. The record is from RNAcentral.